AAACGCUUGAAGUCUAGUCGCGUCGGUUGGAAAUCAGUCUCGCUUCUGCUUGAUGUACUUUCUAAUCGACGGGUCAGCAUCAGGUUUGACCGUUGGAUAAAGGUUGGGGGAAUGUGGCAUCCUCGGAUGUGUUAUAGCCUCUGAUUGCAUACAACGGUUGGGACUGAGGACCUCAGAACGCCGCAAGGCCGGGUACUCGUACCCCGUUCGUGCUUAGGAUGCUGGCAUAAUAGCUUUAAUCGA
RNAcentral lists this ribosomal RNA (243 nucleotides) under Hymenopellis raphanipes. RNAcentral describes it as "partial large subunit ribosomal RNA". The record is from RNAcentral. Lineage: Eukaryota; Fungi; Basidiomycota; Agaricomycetes; Agaricales; Physalacriaceae.